AGGACCUACGGGAGGCAGCAGUGGGGAAUAUUGCACGAUGGGGGAAACCCUGAUGCAGCGACGCCGCGUGAGUGAAGAAGUAUUUCGGUAUGUAAAGCUUUAUCAGCAGGGAAGAAGAAAGACGGUACCUGACUAAGAAGCCCCGGCUAACUACGUGCCAGCAGCCGCGGGAAUACGUAGGGGGCAAGCGUUAUCCGGAUUUACUGGGUGUAAAGGGAGCGUAGACGGCUGUGCAAGUCUGAAGUGAAAGACCAGGGCUCAACCCUGGGACUGCUUUGGAAACUGUGGAGCU
RNAcentral lists this ribosomal RNA (292 nucleotides) under uncultured bacterium. Its description in RNAcentral is "partial 16S ribosomal RNA". It matches the Rfam family "Bacterial small subunit ribosomal RNA", at positions 332 to 642 of the family's 1533-position model. The record is from RNAcentral.